This 1813-nucleotide long non-coding RNA is filed under the name Sus scrofa (pig). RNAcentral's name for it is "lncRNA (ENSSSCG00070000068.1)". The record is from RNAcentral. Lineage: Eukaryota; Metazoa; Chordata; Mammalia; Artiodactyla; Suidae.
GGAGAGCCAGCCCUCCGUGCCCAGAGCCAGAGGGGGCCCCUCACCUCUGAAGCUCCUUUCUGGGGCUGGGGGGGAGGGGGUCUCCUCAGGCCCUGGGCUGAGGCUCCACCUGAAACCCCCAAAGGUGGCGUGGGGGCCAGUGUCUGCUGACGCAAGAGUGAAGGCAGGGUGCUGGGCCCCCGGAUGGAGGGGGCGUGGGCAGCGCACCUGCCCUGGGUGGGGGCGCUCGUAGGAGCAGCCCGGUCCACACCAUCGAAUGAAAUGUUUUAGCCCCAAAACAGGGAUGUAACCCGAAGGCAAGAUUACUGAGACGGGAGAGUCUGGAUAACUUGCAGUCCUGCUCAGCCUCCAUCCGCCGCGGCGAGCACGGCUGUCCCCUGGCUCCUCGGGAGACUCUGUGGCCGCCCCGGCCAGAUGCUCCAGUGGGAUGAGGGGACCAGCCGCCCGGAACCCAGAGGAGGCCUGAGGAUGAGGCGCUUGGGUGUCAGGUCAAAGGGGCCAGGAUCGAGCUGCUGCUUAUUUUCACAGGUUGAGAGGUUCCUGGAGGCGGCAGCUGGGCUGGCAGUACAGCACCUCGGAUGCUGCGCACGGCUUCUGGGCCUCAGCCCCGCGUCUGUAGUGGGCCCAGGCCGGGCAGGGUGCAGCGGGGUCAGGCUGACACACACACCUCCAGUGAGAAGCGCCUGGGACGGGCACUCACUGGCUCCGCCCGUUUCCACCGUACACACCUCACAGCGGGACGGCCACAAACCCAACACCACGGGAACCUUCAUUUCUGGAGAUUCAAGUUACCACCUGGAACUGCUGCCUUAGCCCAGGAUUCCUGCUCCCACCCACCUCCUCGGCUAUUUCUACAGGGUCCUGCCACACACUGUCAAUCGUCACAGCCACGCCGUCUCACCCAGCUGUUUGAGACCAGUUAAGAACUGUGCAGGCGCUGGCUCGCAUCAUGACGUCACUACCGUUACUGCUCCUGGUCUGUUGGUUGGUUUGUUUUGCUUUUUAGGGCUGCACCUGCGGCACACGGCGGCUCCCAGGCGAGGGGUUGAAUCGGAGCUGCAGCCGCCGGCCUACGCCACAGCCACACCAGAUCCGAGCCACGUUGGCGACCUACACCACAGCUCCGGCAACACCGGAUCAUUAACCCACUGAGCAAGUGAAGGGAUCGAACCCGCAACCUCAUGGUUCUAGUCGGAUUCGUGAACCGCUGAGCCACAACGGGAACUUCCCUUUUUUUUUAACUGUGGAUUUGGAUUACCAUCUGGGGUCACCUGCUUUCAGCCUAAAGCGCUUCAGUACUUUUUGUAAGGCAAGGCCACUAGCAACAAGUUCUUUCAGUUUUUGUGUAUCUGAAGCAUCUUUAAUUCACUUCCAUUUUGAGAGACGGCUUUGCUGGGUAUGGGAUUCUUGGCUUUUUUCUGACAACGUGGAGUCACCCCCAUCCCCCGACCCCCUGCCAGUGGCCUCCACUCUUCCUGACGUGAAGUCAACUGCUAAUCUUAUUGGGUGUCUUUCGUGACAAUGGGUCAUUUUUCUCUUGCCGUUUACAGGAGAGUUUGUUUGUGGAUUCUUUUGUAUUUGUCUUCCUUGGCGUUCAUGAGCCUGCUGGACUUGUAGAUGAAUGUUUUCUGGAACCUUGGGAAAUGUUCAGUCCGUUUCUCGAAGUAUUUUUCUGUCCCCUGCUCUCUCCCUCGCUCCCGGAGCGCCCAUCACGUGUGUGUGGUGUGCUCAGCGGGGUCUCCCACUUUCUCCCUUGGCCCCUUCUUUGAAUUUGCAUUAACGUCAUUCUUUCUCUGCUAGUUCACACCUACUG